UACGAAGGGGGCCAGCGUUGUUCGGAAUUACUGGGCGUAAAGGGCGCGUAGGCGGCCUUGUCAGUCAGAAGUGAAAGCCCCGGGCUCAACCUGGGAAUUGCUUUUGAUACUGCAAGGCUAGAGUUUCGUAGAGGAUGGUGGAAUUCCCAGUGUAGAGGUGAAAUUCGUAGAUAUUGGGAAGAACACCGGUGGCGAAGGCGGCCAUCUGGACGAACACUGACGGUGAGGCGCGAAAGCGUGGGGAGCAAACAGG
Molecule: ribosomal RNA, 253 nt
Filed under: uncultured bacterium
Lineage: Bacteria
Description: partial 16S ribosomal RNA
Rfam family: Bacterial small subunit ribosomal RNA
Source: RNAcentral